RNAcentral lists this long non-coding RNA (204 nucleotides) under Physcomitrium patens. Its description in RNAcentral is "long non-coding RNA (PPAT_LNC013062)". The record is from RNAcentral. Lineage: Eukaryota; Viridiplantae; Streptophyta; Bryopsida; Funariales; Funariaceae.
AAGUUUUAAUCCAAUCCAACAUAUAGAUUGCAAGGAAAUGCCAUAAAUCCACACUAAUGUCCCUUGACUGCCGCCUAGAAAGUUGAUAAUGAACUUUGAUUUACAAUUUCUCCUUUUCUAACUGUUAAUUCUCAUUCAAACUUUGUGUGCAGUUUUGUUAUUAAGUCUUUGACUUAUCAUGUCAAAAUUCACCUUAUUCCAAUA